CCUACGGGAGGCAGCAGUGGGGAAUUUUGGACAAUGGGCGCAAGCCUGAUCCAGCAAUGCCGCGUGAGUGAAGAAGGCCUUCGGGUUGUAAAGCUCUUUUGUCAGGGAAGAAACGGUGGAGGUUAAUACCUUCUGCUAAUGACGGUACCUGAAGAAUAAGCACCGGCUAACUACGUGCCAGCAGCCGCGGUAAUACGUAGGGUGCAAGCGUUAAUCGGAAUUACUGGGCGUAAAGCGUGCGCAGGCGGUUGUGCAAGACAGAUGUGAAAUCCCCGGGCUCAACCUGGGAAUUGCAUUUGUGACUGUACGGCUAGAGUGUGUCAGAGGGGGGUAGAAUUCCACGUGUAGCAGUGAAAUGCGUAGAGAUGUGGAGGAAUACCGAUGGCGAAGGCAGCCCCCUGGGAUAACACUGACGCUCAUGCACGAAAGCGUGGGGAGCAAACAGGAUUAGAUACCCUGGUAGUCCACGCCCUAAACGAUGUCUACUAGUUGUCGGGUCUUUAUUGACUUGGUAACGCAGCUAACGCGUGAAGUAGACCGCCUGGGGGAGGACGGUCGCGAGAGUAAACGUUAAAGUAAGUAGUAGACGNGAGAGAGCGACGACGGACGACGACGGAGGGAGGAG
Molecule: ribosomal RNA, 625 nt
Filed under: uncultured bacterium
Lineage: Bacteria
Description: bacterial SSU rRNA
Rfam family: Bacterial small subunit ribosomal RNA (bases 1-542)
Source: RNAcentral